This is a non-coding RNA of Pelobates cultripes (western spadefoot toad), 692 nucleotides long. Lineage: Eukaryota; Metazoa; Chordata; Amphibia; Anura; Pelobatidae. The record is from the annotation of a GenBank genome assembly.
GGCACCCACAACACGGCCGCUGAUGCUCUUUCUCGCUCUCAAUUCCAGGUAUUCUUCCAGGCACUCCCUACGGCUCACCACAAGCCUUCCAGGACACCACAAUUUCACGAACUAAUCCUGGAUUGAGCACACUAAUGCACCACGCGAGGACUCUCACUCACCAAGCACUAUCACCUAACACAGCUAUUUCAUACAAUAGGGCACUUACCAUUUUUAACAAAUUCACUGCAGAAUUCGGUUUACAAGGCGACUUCUCUACACAAACCAUGGUGGCUUUUGCCUCUUUCUGCCAUCUACAUCUUAAACUUUCUCACAACACCGUUAAACUUUACCUCACCAGGGUUCAGCACCAUAGCCUCACCAAUUUUCCUAACAACACCCCCUUCUUGUCAUCAUAUCCCAUUAAAAAGGUCUUGAAAGGUAUAUUAAAGGUUUCGGUUCCACUCACCACCACAAGACUACCUAUAGAUGGGCCUAUCUUUAAAUCACUUAGCAAUCUCCUUGACGAAUCCCCGUUCGAUCCCAACACAAACCUGGUGAUCAAAUCUGCUAUUUAUCUUGCUUUCUACGGUUUUCUCAGACCCAGAGAGUUCACCAUUGUUUGUAAUGGAGAUAUCACGCACAGCCUAAAAUCAUCACACCUCACUAAGGUGGAGGAUCACUACCUACUUACGAUUCCAUCAACUAAAACU